This is a transfer RNA of Cavia porcellus (domestic guinea pig), 64 nucleotides long. It matches the Rfam family "tRNA". From Rfam's summary of the family: Transfer RNA (tRNA) molecules are approximately 80 nucleotides in length. Their secondary structure includes four short double-helical elements and three loops (D, anti-codon, and T loops). Further hydrogen bonds mediate the characteristic L-shaped molecular structure. tRNAs have two regions of fundamental functional importance: the anti-codon, which is responsible for specific mRNA codon recognition, and the 3' end, to which the tRNAs corresponding amino acid is attached (by aminoacyl-tRNA synthetases). tRNAs cope with the degeneracy of the genetic code in two manners: having more than one tRNA (with a specific anti-codon) for a particular amino acid; and 'wobble' base-pairing, i.e. permitting non-standard base-pairing at the 3rd anti-codon position. NCBI's taxonomy places the organism in Eukaryota, Metazoa, Chordata, Mammalia, Rodentia, Caviidae. The record is from Rfam.
GGUGAUUUAGCUCAGCGGCAUAAGCACCUGCCUUCCAAGCAGGCGGUCAUGAGUUCAAUCCCCA